UACGUAGGGUGCAAGCGUUAAUCGGAAUUACUGGGCGUAAAGCGUGCGCAGGCGGUGAUGUAAGACAGAUGUGAAAUCCCCGGGCUCAACCUGGGAACUGCAUUUGUGACUGCAUCGCUGGAGUGCGGCAGAGGGGGAUGGAAUUCCGCGUGUAGCAGUGAAAUGCGUGGAUAUGCGGAGGAACACCGAUGGCGAAGGCAAUCCCCUGGGCCUGCACUGACGCUCAUGCACGAAAGCGUGGGGAGCAAACAGG
This 253-nucleotide ribosomal RNA is filed under the name uncultured bacterium. Its description in RNAcentral is "partial 16S ribosomal RNA". It matches the Rfam family "Bacterial small subunit ribosomal RNA", at positions 524 to 776 of the family's 1533-position model. The record is from RNAcentral.